RNAcentral lists this ribosomal RNA (279 nucleotides) under uncultured bacterium. RNAcentral's name for it is "partial 16S ribosomal RNA". It matches the Rfam family "Bacterial small subunit ribosomal RNA", at positions 506 to 784 of the family's 1533-position model. The record is from RNAcentral.
UGCCAGCCGCCGCGGUAAUACGGGGGGUGCAAGCGUUGUUCGGAAUUAUUGGGCGUAAAGCGCGUGUAGGCGGUUCGUUAAGUCUGAUGUGAAAGCCCGGGGCUCAACUCCGGAACUGCUCUUAAAACUGCUAAGCUAGAGAUGGUCAGAGGCGGGUAGAAUUCCUGGUGUAGAGGUGAAAUUCGUAGAUAUCAGGAGGAAUACCGGUGGCGAAGGCGGCCCGCUGGGGCCAUUCUGACGCUAAGGUGCGAAAGCGUGGGGAGCGAACGGGAUUAGAUA